UUCAAUCCUAUUUUGACAAAAAAUUAUCUGGUCCAAUAUGGUCCAAUUUUCCCAUAAGCCGGUCGGUUUCCAAUUUUCAACCUGAAUCUUUCUUCUUCUUUUUUUUAGUUUUUGAAUUUUUUUUUUACAAAACCGAACUAAAAUUUUAAUUUUGAGGUGUAAAAAUUUACGAAUAGCCCAAUUUCAUGCAAAGGGAGGUUAUUCAAAGUUGGACUUGGAGAAAUAUUAGUUAUGGGCUUAGAAAUUUAGCAUUGGAGUUAAAUAUUUAAUUACAAAAUUACAAAAUAUGCACCCGGUUCCCUUUUGACACUACAAGAACUGAAACCGAAACCGGACUAAACCAAUCCAAUGUGAUUUUUGCCCUUUUUCUUGGGCUCAAUUCUGCCUAGUUUUCCAAUUUUCCAAUUAGAAUACUUGGGUGGGGUUGCUGAUAACAAUUUCAUUUCCACUUCCAGCCAAGACGACGCCGGUCCUCCAAUUCCCAAGAUCCAUGGUUCUGCUGUGGUGGGACCGAAGUGUGGUAGUUUGGGCAACUAAUGUGGUGGUUUGGGUGGGUGGGUUGUUUUGUGCAGUCGGGGUAGUUGUGCGAGAGGGAGACAUGGCGGGCCAAGGUGGUUUGAGAAAUUGUUG
RNAcentral lists this long non-coding RNA (630 nucleotides) under Prunus persica (peach). Its description in RNAcentral is "long non-coding RNA (PPER_LNC004991)". Lineage: Eukaryota; Viridiplantae; Streptophyta; Magnoliopsida; Rosales; Rosaceae. The record is from RNAcentral.